UGAUGACCUUAUGGUAGAACUAAGGAAUGUCUUCAGAUAGGCAGAGUAAGGUAAGAAUCCCCUGCUUUAUCCAUAGACAAUAAUGAGCAGGUGAUGGGAAAGCUCAGUUAUCUAAGAGAAGUCAUCCAGACCCUGUUCUGGAAGGAUUGAGAGAUAGCUCCAUGGUAAAUAUUUGGGAAGAAGUAACAGUAGACAAGGGAGAGUUCAGGUUUGCUUGGGGAAGUUGAAGCAGGAAAAGCAAUCUCUCAAGAAGUAAGGCUAUCCAGUUAGGCUAAUGCAUUUCUAGAGGUAAACUGCUCAGCAUGCCAUCAAGAAAAACUCUAAGGACAUUCACUUUGAAAGGCAAAAAUUAUGGAGUGUGGGUAGCCAGCCAUAACCAGACUCUGGUUCCUGACUACUGUUAAUGAGAAGACUCAAGAUAUAUCACUUGAUAAUAAAAAUCCAUACUAAUCCUUACUUGGGAAGAAUAUUGAAUUACUUGACUGCUAAGACCCCAUCCAACCCCAAAAUUAUGAUUUUAAGAUAUUAAAUAUUGACAGACAAAUAACAUGGACUCAAUAAAUAUUUGCCCAAAUGAACAUAAUUGAAUUGAACUCAGGAAACAAAAGGGUCUCUAUUUUAUGACCUCAGUUUGUCUAAUUCUCACAAAGAACUGUAUGAGCUUUUCUUUUCUUUGAAAGUCUUACAUUUGCUCACUACAUUUCCCUGAGAAAAUCUUCAAGGUAGAACUCAUCCUACUAACUAUAUUUCAAAGGGCAAAUUUCCUUUGGUGGUUUAUUUUUUGAGUGUCCUUUCCCUAAAGUUAUUAUUCCAAAUAUAAGUUUUCACAUCUUUUAUCUAAAAAUAGAUUACCUGAACUUGAUUGCAUAUGGGUUCAUAGAAUAAUNAGGGAAAGGAGAGAAGGGGAGGAAAUAUGGGGAUAGGAAGUAGAAUGAAACAGAUAUUAUUACCUUCUAUACAUAUAUAACUGUAUGACUGUUGUGAUUAUACAACGUGUACAAUCAGAAAAAUAAGAAAUUAUACCCCAUCUAUGUAUGAUAUGUCAAAGUGCAUAAAUGUAUUCUAUAUAAUGUCAUGUAUAACUAAUGAAAUAAAAAUACAAAAGAAUUCAAGGAACAAUAAAUGUUGCUUAGGAUGUGGGGAAAAGUGUACACUCACACAUUGCUGGUGGGACUACAAGUUGGUGCAACCAUUGUUUUUGAGAAAUCAAAAAAACUAUGAAUGGAACUAGUAUUUGACCCAGUUGUCCCACUCCUCAGUAUAUAUUCAAAGGAAAUAAAAUCAGCAUACUAUAUUUAUGCAGCCAUAUCAACAUUUACAGCAGCUCAGUUCACAACAGCUAAGCAAUGGCACUAACCUAGGUGCCCUUUAACAGAUGACUGGAUAAAGAAAAUAUGGUAUAUAUACAGAAUGGAAUAAUAUCCAACAUUUGAAAAAAAAAUAGAACAUUCUUUCUUAUAUUGAGUUGGAAUUAAUUGAAAUCUGUGAACCAAAUUUUAUGCCAUAUACUUGCAUAACAUAUUUUACCUUUAAAAGAUGUUUGAAAAGUUAUUAUUACCAAUACAUUUUGUCUCAAUUGAAAGAAGUCCAAUUUUUCUAUUCUUUAUAUACUAAAAAUAAUCUGAUUUGCCUUAAUAUUAAUAUUUGCUGAAGUUGCUCUUUAAAAUGAUGUAUUUGGAGUUAAAAACAUACAGUAGAUGUGAGCUGACCAAUAUGUGGUAGGAAAUUAAUUUUUAGGCAUGUUACAUUGUUAAUAGAACUGUAAUUUAUUUCAUAUAAGUUGCAAUCAAUGUCUAUUAAAAUAGUUGAUUUUUGAAAUACGAUUUGUACCUUGGUUAAAUUUCAGUAUUUUUAGGUCAGUUAUUGAGCAUGUCAACUUUUAAUAAAUUCUGCUUGUUUUAUCUGUUAGUAUUUUUGUCAUCCAUAAUUUUUGUUAAUACAUUUUAGAGUCUAUUCAACUUUUAAAAAAAUAUUGAACAGAACAUUUUUAAGAAUAGAGCCUGUUCUAUUCCUAGAAGAGGUAGAUUCCUUAGCUUGUCAUUAGUCCUUUGGAUGUGACUUUUUAGCUAGUGAUAUAUAUUUGAAACUUAUCAUAAUCAUCAUUAUAAUAACAUUUACCAGAUAUUUUUAAUGUAGGCACUUUUCUAAGUAACUUUGUAUGUAUUAAUUAAUUUAAUCCUCAUAAUGCUGUUUUAAAAAUAUUUAUUUUUUAGUUGUAGGUGGACACAAUAUCUCUAUUUUAUGUUUAUGUGUUGCUGAGGAUUGAACCCAGUGCCUCACAUGUGCUAGGCAAGCACUCAUCCACUGAGCCACAACCCCAGCCCAUCCUCAUAAUACUUUUAUAAGGAGGUUUUAUUUCCAUUUUACAAAUGACUAAGCUGAGUUACAUAUUUUCAAGAAUUGUAAAAGUCCUGGCAUUUUAUAGUACUUGCAAGCUAAUAAACUAGACAGUCACUGUUUUAUUGCUGUUUGUAGAAGACAUAAGAUCCCUGGGUCAGAAGCAGAAGAUCUUAUUACUCACUGUACAGCAGAUAGCAUGAGCUUCAUGUUGAGUUUUGUUCCCUUGACUCCCAAGUCCCUCAGGGGCUCUGCAGAGUAGUUUGGGUUGAUCUAAAAUGAGAAACCUCCAAUUUAGAAAAUAUCAUCUUUUAUAAUGGACUGGCCCUUGUUCCAGAAGGAGACAAUGUCUCUGUAUUCCAGGGCUUUGUAUUCAAAAAGAUACAUGCAAAAAUAGUACAAGGGCUGGUUUUGUGGCUGACUUAGAGGUAAGACGCUUACCUAGUAUGCAUGAGAUCCUGGGUUAGAACUCAGAACCACACCCACACAUGCAUACAAGUCAGGAAUAUCCCUAGAUAGGUAGAAGAGUAAUGAAGCAUCACAAAAUGCAGAGUACAGAAGCAAUUUUAUUAUGAGAGAAAGCUUUAGCACACCUGAGAGCAUUUUAUUGCUUGCUGUAAGUGAAAAAUUCACUCUGAUAACUUUGCUAUUUGUAAGACUAAUUUGGGAAAACACAAAAUGCUGAUUCUCAUGUCUUGCCCUGUGUUUCUACAGGUAAUAGAAUAUUUCUGUCUCUAUAGGUAAUAGAAAUCUUUGAAUUUAUGUGAAGGGACCAAAUUACAUAAAGCAGAGAUUACAAUUAGAUUCUUUAGAUUAAGGCAAUGAGAGAGAUUGAAAAUAAUAAAAUUAUUAUUUAUGACUAUUAUUAUUUCUUAUGGCCUAGGUGCAAGGAGAUGAGUGAUCACCUGGCUGGAAAGGGACAUCUGAAAGCUGAGCACAACAGGGCUCUCUCUCAACCAGUCAGCAAGGCUCUUUUACUUGGUUUGAUUGUGUGCCUUUGGGUUAGAAGUAUUUUGAACUGUAUUUACUUAGAGUGGCUCUUUAGGUAGUUUUUUGUUUUAUCCAUUUAUGGAUUAUGGUAUUUCUUAUAUUUUUUGAAAGAGCAAAACCCACUUUAUAGAGUCUUUCUGGGGGAAUGUUUCUGUUCUUAUGUUUGAUGUAUACUUUGUAGAUUACACAGUGUUAGCUGGAGGAGAUGGGGGAGAUGGAUGAAAAAACUAAGAAUGAGAGUACAGUUAUUUUCCCUGAUGUUCUUUCUUCUUUGCUAUGGGCAAAGCCACAACCCCCAGCCAGGGAAUCAACUGUGGGACACCCACACAUACACUCCUCCCUUUUUCUUCUUCAAAACACAUCUCUCUCUUUUUUUGACAGUAUAUUUUGUUAUGAGAGCUGUAAAUUGAACAUCAUAAUUUCUUUUUUCCCUUGCAUUUUUAAUCAUUUCUGUUGCCAUAUUCAAUAUCUUGAAUAAGCAAUUUGUGAUUUUUGAUUUUUAACUAACCCAUAAUACCCAGCCCAUAUUUUCCCCUUUGAAUUCAUUUUGAGUUUUCUUUGACUAAAUAAAAUGUCUUUAAAAUGUGAAUGCCAUUAUCAUUUUAAGGCUCAGAGGACGUGCUUCUAUUUUAUAAUUUUGGUCUUAUUUCUGAAAUAACUUCAGAAAAUAUGAAAUGUUUCUGAAAUAUAUGAUUUUUUUAUUUCUGAAUCUUUAAAGUUUUGGUUCAUUGGCUCAGGUGGUUGCUGCUCUGUUGAAUGAAAGUUCUUUUUAUAAUCUUAUACAUAGUACUUUACCAAUGUCAUAGUCAGAAGGCUUUCAGAAGAGAAAGAUUUUUCAAUAAAGGAUUUAGGAAAAAUACGUUCUACUCUCUUUUAUAGUUAAGACAACAAGAAAUGAAGUACUUAUGAGUCAGGACUUGGCUGUCUGAGGAAAUACAGACAAGACUGAUGUUUUAUUACAUUAAUUUCAAUAUUUGUAUGAUCUAAAUAACAAAAAGUGAAGAAGAACUAAUUUACUCAGGUAUGAGGGCUGCUAAGCCACUUAUGGCUAUUGAACUCUUACAGUUUUCCUCAGAGUGAAGUUCUCUUUGAGUUUUAUGAAAAAAUGUUAAUGGAGGAUGAAGAAAUACAAGUAGAGGUGAAAAUACUGUUUGAUGGCAGAUGUGAUUCAAAUUUAAGAAAAAUUUAAUUGAAAAGCUAUUAAUAUGUACAUUUUGUAGACUUUUUUCCAUAAAGAACUACACCAUAUUCUUGUUUUAAUCACAUUUUCCAACAAGAAAACUUAGUCACUUUGAUAGUUCUUAAAUUUCAAUGUUCAAUAGUCAAAGUAAAUUUAGUAUGUUUUUUUCUUUUUUGGUACCAGAGAUUGAACCCAGGGGUGCUUAACCACUGAGCCAUAUUCACAGCCCUUUUUGUGAGUGUAUUUAUUUAUUUAGUUAUUUAGUAAGGGUCCUUCUAAGUUACUUAGGGCCUUGGUAAUUUGCUGAAGCUGGCUUCGAACUUGGGAUCCUCCUGCUCAGCCUUCCCAGCUGCUGGGAAUACAGGUGUAUCCCACCAUAUCCAGAAACUUAGUGUGUACUUUGAUGCAGCAGUUCCACUCACCCAUGAAUAAUAUCUAUGUAAAGUAUGACACACCAAGGUAAACAUACUAUUGAUUGAAUGAAUUAUGUGUUACUGCUAGAAAAUAAAAGCACUUAUUGGAAUAAAGAGCACUAAUAUGUUUUAACUUGGUAAUUUUAUAAAAUGUUAAAGAUGAUGCUAUUGAGAAAAUAUCUUGAAUAAAAUUUAAAUAUGUGAAAAAUUCACUCUGAUAAUUUUGCUAUUUGUAAGACUAAUUUGAGAAAACACAAAAUGCUGAUUCUCAUGUUUUGCCCUGUGUCUCUACGGGUAAUAGAAAAUUUCUGUCUCUACAGGUAAUAGAAAUCUUUGAUUUUAUGUGUAGGGACCAAAUAACAUAAAGGAUUACAAUUAGAUUCUUUAGAAUAAGAUAAUGAAAGAGAGAAUGAAAAUAAUAAAAUUGUUAUUUAUGACUAAUAAAUACAAAACCCAGAGUAAGUGAGUUAUUCCUCUUUCUAGCCAGUGGUUUUCUGAUGUACCACACUGCUCCUGGUGAACUGGGCAUCUGACUCUUCUGAAUGCCUCUUAGGUAUUAACUGCCUGGGGUGAAAAGACAAUUUAUUCUUUUUCUUUUGCAGUUCUUUGCAGUGUUGGUCCACAGGUAGAAGCCAAGCAGCGAUAUUAGUUAAUGGAGAUGUGGACUUGACAGUGUGGAAAGAGGCUUGGCACCUGAUGGAUGGAGAGUGAAUCCUGAGUAAGUCACAUCUUGGCUGCAUGACCUAGGGUGCCUUAUUUGAUUUCUUAACCUACUUUUCUCAUCAGUAAAAUAUAGAUGAAAAUAUCUGCAUUUUUGUAUGACUUAAAAAGAAUAUUGGCUGGAGUUGUAGCUCCUUGGUAGAGUACUUGCCUAGCAUGUGUGAGACACUGGUUUGAUCCUCAGUACUGCAUAUAAAUAAAUGCAUAAAAUAAAAGUUUAUCAAGAACAAUGACAACAAAAAAGAAUAUUUGCAAACAUCCCACAUAGUACCUGCUAACGAAUAGAUGCCCACAAUUCAGUUUAACUAUGGAUAUUUUGGCUUUCUUUUUUCCAGCUUAACCCCCCCUUUUUUUUCCUGUGGAGAUGUUUUUAUUUGUGUCUUGGCUUUGUUUUAUAUGUUUUUCAUCUUAAAAAUUAGACUGCCUUGGUUGGUACUCUAGGAUGGAGCAACCCAUUUUGCUAAGAGCAUCUUCAUAUCUGACCCUGUAAAUUCUGACAAGCUGGAAGUAAAGGGAAAUAUGCAUUUUACCUGAAGCUCAUAUAUCAUGUUCCUCAUUUCUUGCUCUCUUUGGUUAGGUAGUUAUGUUACGAACAACUGAUCCAGGAAUAUUCUUAGGCGGAAAAUCUGACUUUGUGGAUAUGUUCAGAAGUCAAAUGUUGUCUCUGCCUGAACCAGUAUCUCCUUGGAAACUUGAAACAUGAAACUUAAAAGUUAGUUUUUAAUUUUGUUUGUGGUAUUUACAAGUGAAGGUACAAGUGUUUUUUUAUGAAGUUCUCUGAAGCUAUUAGAUGUGGCAAAACUAGAUAUCACCCCAUUUCAUUUUAAGAUUUUGUUUUAGCUUUGCAGCAUUUUCUUUUAUGUUUUAUCAAAAGUUGUAGAUCUCAAUUUGCUUUUCAAUAUGAUGCUUUUAGAUUAAUAACCGAGUCAUUACAAUAAAAUUAUAUUUCCUGGAGCAAUAUGUUUUAUAAUCAGUUUUAUAUAAUAAAUGUAAGAUUCCUCCUUCCUGGAUAUCAUUUUGACUCCUGUUAGUACUUUUGCUGCCUUCCAUUAAUGGCUUUGGAUGGAAUGAUUUCACAUCUUUUAAGUCCAUAUCUUUGGUAAUUUCUAUCAAGAUUCUCUUCUGAGGACCUCUACAGAGGCCUGUAAGAAACUAAGGUGGGAAUUUUACUCUUAACUUGGCUACAUUGUAAAUUUGGGAUGCCAAUUUUUCUGGCUCUGAUAUAAAGUGAUCUUCUUCUUUUUUAAUAUAUAAGUAAGGCUAAUUAAUUUUCAGUUUCUACUGAAAUUGCAAUCUUCUCCUUUCUGUCUAAAUGGC
Molecule: long non-coding RNA, 6957 nt
Filed under: Marmota monax (woodchuck)
Lineage: Eukaryota; Metazoa; Chordata; Mammalia; Rodentia; Sciuridae
Source: RNAcentral